GACGAACGCUGGCGGCGUGCUUAACACAUGCAAGUCGAACGGUAAGGCCCUUCGGGGUACACGAGUGGCGAACGGGUGAGUAACACGUGGGUGAUCUGCCCUGCACUUCGGGAUAAGCCUGGGAAACUGGGUCUAAUACCGGAUAGGACCACUGCCUGCAUGGGUGGUGGUGGAAAGCUUUUGCGGUGUGGGAUGGGCCCGCGGCCUAUCAGCUUGUUGGUGGGGUGAUGGCCUACCAAGGCGACGACGGGUAGCCGGCCUGAGAGGGUGACCGGCCACACUGGGACUGAGAUACGGCCCAGACUCCUACGGGAGGCAGCAGUGGGGAAUAUUGCACAAUGGGCGCAAGCCUGAUGCAGCGACGCCGCGUGAGCGAUGACGGCCUUCGGGUUGUAAACCUCUUUCAGCACCGACGAAGCGCGGGUGACGGUAGGUGCAGAAGAAGGACCGGCCAACUACGUGCCAGCCGCCGCGGUAA
Molecule: ribosomal RNA, 478 nt
Filed under: uncultured bacterium
Lineage: Bacteria
Description: partial 16S ribosomal RNA
Rfam family: Bacterial small subunit ribosomal RNA
Source: RNAcentral